This 496-nucleotide long non-coding RNA is filed under the name Homo sapiens (human). RNAcentral describes it as "non-protein coding lnc-PAIP2-3:1". The record is from RNAcentral. Lineage: Eukaryota; Metazoa; Chordata; Mammalia; Primates; Hominidae.
AUUUCUUUUACAUUGUAGUGCCUAUUUACCUAUAUCUUUGACUCUAAUUCUGUAGUCUGAUGACAUUGAGUUGAUCAAGCAUUUUUAAACUUUUGAGAACACUUACUUUAUUUGGAAGGUAAUUGUUUUUGAGCAUUUUAAACCAGGGCUUUACAUUAAUAUAUUCUGCCUAGAUUACUUCUGGCCACAAAGCUAUCAUCCACUGAGAUUAUCUUGUUGGUUUUUGGCAUCAAUAUGUUCUUCUUAAUCAUAUAUUUAAGCAGGUUUUUUUUGUCUGCUUUGUUGAAUUGUUUUAAGUAUUUUUUUUGCAGUCAAUGUGCUCUGCCAUUCAGGAUGCUAGAUUUCAGCUCUCCAUCUGUCUUGAUUGCUGAUUUGUAUGUAGUAAAGAUGUAUUCUUGAACAAUUCUCUUUUUUUCCUUAUCUGUGGCUACAGGGAAAGAGUUAAUGUAGAGCCCUGGUGUUUGUUUCAGUAUGUUUCAUAUUUUAGAUUAGUUCA